AAAUACCUCUUGGUUUGAGGACUGUCGUGCGCAAGCCGGCUUUCCUUGCACUUUCCAGUCUAUGUUUUAUAAUAUACACCUAAAGUAUGUUUCAGGAUGUCAUUUAAUGGGCAUAACUGCCUUUAAUUACCAUACAACUUUCAACAACGGAUCUCUUGGCUCUCGCAUCGAUGAAGAACGCAGCGAAAUGCGAUAAGUAAUGUGAAUUGCAGAAUUCAGUGAAUCAUCGAAUCUUUGAACGCACCUUGCGCUCCUUGGUAUUCCGAGGAGCAUGCCUGUUUGAGUGUCAUUAAAUUCUCAACCUUUUCAAUCUUUUAUUGGUUGAAUUAGGUUUGGAUGUGGGAGUCUUUUUGCUGGCUUCUUUAAGAGGUCGGCUCUCCUUAAAUUUAUUAGCAGGACCUUUGUUGCCCUCUCAGUGUUAGUGUGAUAAUUAUCUACGCUAUUUGCUGAAAGCAACUCAUAAAAUAGGGUUUCCAGCUGCUAAUCGUCUCU
This 492-nucleotide ribosomal RNA is filed under the name Tricholoma flavovirens. Its description in RNAcentral is "eukaryotic LSU rRNA". The stretch from base 136 to 289 matches the Rfam family "5.8S ribosomal RNA". Lineage: Eukaryota; Fungi; Basidiomycota; Agaricomycetes; Agaricales; Tricholomataceae. The record is from RNAcentral.